GCUCGCUGCGCAGCCGGUUCUCCUGCGCCCGCAGCUCACGCCAGCGGCCCCGCAGACGUUCGAGGCGCUCGGUGAGCG
RNAcentral lists this transfer RNA (78 nucleotides) under Rhodococcus sp. YH1. RNAcentral's name for it is "tRNA-Val". Lineage: Bacteria; Bacillati; Actinomycetota; Actinomycetes; Mycobacteriales; Nocardiaceae. The record is from RNAcentral.